This 329-nucleotide ribosomal RNA is filed under the name uncultured eukaryote. RNAcentral describes it as "partial 18S ribosomal RNA". It matches the Rfam family "Eukaryotic small subunit ribosomal RNA", at positions 1470 to 1796 of the family's 1831-position model. The record is from RNAcentral.
CCCUUAGAUGUUCUGGGCCGCACGCGCGCUACACUGAUGCAUUCAACGAGUCUAAAACCUGCUCUGAUAGGGGUGGGUAAUCUUUUGAAUGUGCAUCGUGAUUGGGAUAGAUGAUUGCAAUUUUUCAUCUUCAACGAGGAAUGCCUAGUAAACGCAAGUCAUCAGCUUGCAUUGAUUACGUCCCUGCCCUUUGUACACACCGCCCGUCGUUCCUACCGAUUGAAUGAUCCGAUGAAUAUCAUGGAUUGAGGAUGCAAGUAGGUUAGCCUAUCUUCAUCUUCGAGAAGUGAAGUAAAUCUUAUCAUUUAGAGGAAGGAGAAGUCGUAACA